RNAcentral lists this non-coding RNA (121 nucleotides) under uncultured Symbiodinium. Lineage: Eukaryota; Dinophyceae; Suessiales; Symbiodiniaceae. The record is from RNAcentral.
AGAGCUCAUUGAGUUGUUGGAGAUGGAGCGUGCUGGGCAAACCUCCGUGCUCAAGAACAACAAGAAGCAUCCAAAGCUGCAUUGCAUCCGAAAGAUCAUGGGCCGCAUGAGCAUUGCGGGG